GUUGAGCAUAUUAAUUUGUAAUUUGUAUAUUUAUUAACACCUUAUUGCAUGUCGUUCUAUGGUUUUAAUAAAUGUGUUGUCAUUUCAUUUUUAUUACUACUAACAUGAUUUUUUAGUGAUCAGUGAUAAUGUAUUUUUAACGUUAUGUAUUAUAUUUUAUAGUAUAUUUUUUAACUCUUCGUGCUGACACUUUUUUUAGAAUCAUUUUAAUUAGAUAAUAGGUUUAAAGAUGUAAAUAAAACUGUGUAUGUUGUAAAUUUAGACUUUUUAGUGUACUUGAGCACUAUCAAUUAUGGAAAUUAUAUUAUGAUUUUAUUUUACUAAAUCUUUCUUUUUGUGUAUUUUUUUGUUUUAUUUUGUAUUUUUACAAUAUUAUUGCAUUAUUCUUUAAUUGCAGUGAAUUGAUAUUUUCAAUUUUUGUUUCAUAUACCUUAAAAGUCUUCAGUUGAUUUUUGUUUGUUUUCUUUCUCCAAUUAUAAUAUACGGUUCGACCGUUUCUUCUUUUUUUGGGAUCAAACUUCUAAUAUCAUCAGAUAGAAAAGCUUAAACUCUAAUAAUGGAGUGAGUAUUUGUGCUAGAGAAAACUAAUUUAACCACUAAUAUAGUGAGAUAUUACAAUAUUAAAAGGUAUGAAAACUCUUCUAUGUUGUCCUACGCUGGACAUAAUUAAGUUGUUGUCAAUUGAUUCUAUAUUUGUGAUAACUGGAAAUACAUCUUUAUGUCUUCCUUACAUCAUACUUAAUUGGUUUAUGGUUCGACCAUUUCUAAUAUACUGAGAGUAACAUAAAAUUAG
Molecule: long non-coding RNA, 793 nt
Filed under: Brassica rapa (field mustard)
Lineage: Eukaryota; Viridiplantae; Streptophyta; Magnoliopsida; Brassicales; Brassicaceae
Description: long non-coding RNA (BRAP_LNC004626)
Source: RNAcentral